UUCAUAAAACACAGGUCUAAUUUUGUUGCUUUACUCUCACAUGUGUGUGAGGGCCACACAUCAUCACUCUGAACUCAGCUGUUUAUGUGUGAGCAGUGGUGCAGCAUGGGUGCCAGACUGAGGGUCGGUGAGUCUCAUCAUCGACCAGGAUGUGACAUGCUGGCCGAACGGCCGGCUGCAGGAGCCCCAUUGUGCCACACGACAGCUGACUGACGCACAUCCUCAGAGACAAUGCGACCAAGCCAAAAUGGAUUAGACUCUUAUAGUCGGAGGCUUACAGCGAGAAGAGACGCGUGUUCACCGAGGCAAAUGAAGCAGAAAUGCUCCCCAACUUUCACAGCCAGUUAUCAGGAUUUAAAUGUUUCUUGGAACUACAAACUCCAAGGACCUGAGGUGGUCCUCCCACAUAGAUACCACCCAGAAAAGGGCCCAGCAGAUGUGGUACUUCCUGCGACAACUCGGAGCCGAUCUGCCCUCCCUGGGGGACUUGUAGUAGAAAUCGGCCUCAGAAACGUGAGCGCAUCUCCAGGCCGGCUGAGUCAGAGGAGAAGUCGGUUACAACACAGAAACGGUGUGAAAUCCAAGGAGCCGCUUUCUCACACCAAAGUGAGAACUACUGUUUUUAUGCACAAAAUUGCAUAUAUGCCAAUACGGUGCAGACUGCUGGGGAGACAUGAUUAACAGAAGAAGUUCCAUGGAGGAACCAGGGCAGAGCUACAACGCACGCAAUAGCCCACUGAGUAAACCACAUCCUCUUAAGAAGAAAAAAAACAAAAAACUGCUUAACAUACAAAAACUGAGCGUAACAAAAGGAGAGCGGACGUGCAGAAAUGCUCCCCAAACUUAAACGUUGGCGCACUAAAACGAUCAGUCGCAGAAGCUGGGAAUGAACACGUGAAACCGUUCAUUUUAGACAUCCCACCCCCGCUGAGCGCAGGACAAACAGGUUGGUGUGCCGACUCAAAUGACUGCCGUCACCAAUGGCAACACACAGACACUCACCCAUAAACUCUAACUACUGAGGUCAGUGGUGAGGAAAUGUAAAUAUAAGAAGCCCCCCCGCCCCCAACCCCGGAUGUAGACAGGAAAUCACUAGCUGUGAUAUUUACAGCAUUAAACCAUGAGUCUGUUGACGAUCUGCCUGAUACAGCAAACACGUUAUAUGAUCUGCAACAUUAUGUCUGUUAGCUUAACCUAGUACAAAGACUGGAAACAGGGUGAAAGAGCUAGUCUGGCUCUCUCCCUGGGUGAUCCAUCAGUGUGAUGGAAGACAAGACAUGGCUGCAGAACUCAAACAAACAGGUUUGCUUCCUUCAAUCUAUGAAUCUCUGUUAGCUCUAACAAAUAUUCAUGCUAGCACUUAAUCUGGUGAGUAAAAACUCUGCAGAGGCCAAACAUUUCUGAUGUUCCUGUUACGUAAACCACAUUGCGAGUGCCAAAUCCCAUUUAACCAGCUUGAGUCUGUAUUAGAUUCAGCACGAACAGUCCCGAGCCAAGAAUUCUUCUCAGGGACCCAGAUUUGC
Long non-coding RNA from Acanthopagrus latus (yellowfin seabream), 1523 nucleotides. RefSeq lists it as uncharacterized. Lineage: Eukaryota; Metazoa; Chordata; Actinopteri; Spariformes; Sparidae. The record is from RefSeq and is a predicted model, not a curated record. The transcript is spliced from 3 exons.